Molecule: long non-coding RNA, 371 nt
Filed under: Vigna radiata
Lineage: Eukaryota; Viridiplantae; Streptophyta; Magnoliopsida; Fabales; Fabaceae
Description: long non-coding RNA (VRAD_LNC005060)
Source: RNAcentral
CUAUGAAAUCUUUAUCUAGUGUCAACAGAAAAAUCCUGCCCUUAGAACUCAUGCUCUAAGCGCCCGGCCUCCGGUAUGUCUACCACAUAUUCCUUCGUGUAAUUCCCUCAUAACGUACUCUGCUUUGUCUUUUGUUAGGCACUUCAUCAUUGGCGUGGUAUAUCCUCUUCGGUAUAAAUCCUCUCCCACCAGGCAGUACCUAGCAAUCCUAUUAGCAUCCUCAGCCCGAAAGUUCUUUCCCUCCUCUUGUUCCCUAAUCAACUACGUAAGUUCCUCUUUUCCAACCUCUUUGACUCGCUAUGUUUCACUCGUUAAAACAUUCAAUUGUUGGCCUCAUUAUCACUUGCCUAAUUACAAAAGACAAGUGUCCC